RNA transcript from Mesoplodon densirostris (Blainville's beaked whale), 4701 nucleotides. It is a transcript of the gene named trafficking protein particle complex subunit 11, with no coding region annotated. The transcript has 31 exons. The record is from RefSeq and is a predicted model, not a curated record. NCBI's taxonomy places the organism in Eukaryota, Metazoa, Chordata, Mammalia, Artiodactyla, Ziphiidae.
CCCUGGGAAGUCUCGCUUGUGGGCACCGGCUCAGGGGCGGUGGCGGUAGGGACGGCCUCCGGCGUUUUGUGACACCCCCCCCCCAACCCCGCCUGCUUCCCCUGGUUCUCCCCCGGCUGGCGGCGACCGGCCACAGCUGCAGCGGGCUCGGGGCGUGCGGCCUGGAAUUUUCCUGACACCUUGAACAUGAGCCCCACACAAUGGGACUUCCCUGUGGAAUUAUGUUGUCGGCCUAUGGCUUUUGUUACUCUCACGGGCCUGGAUGUGGUUUAUAAUGCUGUCCAUCGAGCUGUCUGGGAUGCUUUCUGUGCCAAUCGGAGGGCUGAUCGGGUACCGAUUUCUUUCAAGGUGCUCCCAGGUGACCAUGAGUAUCCCAAAUGUAGACCCAAGAGAACUUCGUAUGAAUGGUACAUUCCCAAAGGGAUCCUAAAGACAGGCUGGAUGAAUAAACAUCUGAAUCUGGUGCCAGCCCUGGUGGUUGUGUUCUACGAACUAGACUGGGAUGAGCCCCAGUGGAAGGAAAAGCAGUCUGAGUGCGCGACCAGAGUGGAAAUAGUUAGGCAGAGUUUACAAGGGAGAAACACAAAAGUUGCAGUGGUUCUGAUUCAGAAGAAAACCCCUUUGCCCCCAGGAGAAGAUGUCAUUGCUUCAGAAAGGGCUGCAGCCUUGUGCAAUGCGUGUGAACUCUCGGGGAAGUCUUUGUUUGUACUGCCCCAUACGGACCACCUUGUGGGCUAUAUUAUAAGAUUAGAAAACGCCUUUUAUGAACAUGCACAGACUUAUUACUACACUGAGAUUCGAAGAGUGAAAUCUCAUAAAGAAUUUUUGAAUAAAACAACACACCAGCUUUUAUUUGUUAGACAUCAGUUCAAAAUAGCUUUCUUCAGUGAGUUGAAACAAGAUACACAAAAUGCUCUGAAGAAUUACAGGACCGCCUAUAAUCUUGUACAUGAAUUGAGAGCCCAUGAAACUAAUAUUCUGGAAAUUAAGACCAUGGCAGGAUUUAUAAACUACAAGAUCUGUAGGCUGUGUUUUCAGCACAACACCCCAUUGGACGCAAUUGCUCAGUUCCGAAAGCACAUCGACUUGUGUAAGAAAAAAAUCGGAAGUGCAGAGUUGUCUUUCGAGCAUGCUGCAUGGAUGUCUAAACAAUUCCAGGCCUUUGGAGAUUUAUUUGAUGAAGCUAUCAAGUUGGGGUUGACAGCUAUUCAAACUCAGAAUCCUGGUUUCUAUUACCAGCAGGCAGCAUACUAUGCCCAGGAGCGGAAACAGCUUACGAAAACCCUCUGUAACCACGAAGCUUCUGUAACGUAUCCCAGUCCUGAUCCCUUAGAAACACAAACAGGAGUUCUUGACUUCUAUGGACAACGAUCAUGGCGACAAGGAAUACUAAGUUUUGAUCUUUCUGAUCCCGAAAAAGAGAAGGUGGGGAUUCUUGCCAUUCAGCUGAAGGAAAGAAGUGUUGUUCACUCUGAAAUAAUAAUAACUCUUCUGAGCAAUGCUGUUGCGCAAUUUAAGAAAUAUAAGUGUCCAAGAAUGAAAAGUCAUCUGAUGGUUCAAAUGGGAGAGGAAUAUUAUUAUGCAAAGGAUUAUACCAAAGCUUUGAAGUUGCUGGAUUAUGUAAUGUGUGAUUAUCGGAGUGAAGGAUGGUGGACCCUGCUCACAUCUAUACUGACCACAGCUCUGAAGUGUUCCUACCUCAUGGCCCAACUGCAAGAUUACAUCACUUAUUCCCUAGAACUCCUUGGAAGAGCUUCAACUCUGAAAGAUGACCAGAAAUCUCGGAUAGAAAAGAACCUCAUAAGUGUUUUAAUGAAUGAAACUCCUGCUCCUGAACCUGACUGUGACAUAUUAGCUGUGAAAACUGCUCAGAAGCUGUGGGCGGACCGAAUUUCUCUGGCCGGCAGCAAUCUUUUCACAAUAGGCGUACAGGACUUUGUGCCAUUUGUGCAAUGCAAAGCCAGGUUCCACGCCCCAAGUUUUCAUGUCGAUGUUCCCGUGCAGUUCGAUAUUUAUCUGAAGGCUGAUUGUCCACAUCCCAUUAGGUUUUCUAAGCUCUGUGUCAGCUUUAAUAAUCAGGAAUACAACCAGUUCUGUGUAAUCGAAGAAGCAUCCAAAGCGAGUGACGUUUUAGAAAAUUUGACUCAGGGAAAGAUGUGCUUAGUUCCUGGUAAAACAAGGAAGUUUUUAUUUAAAUUUGUGGCAAAAACUGAAGAUGUGGGAAAGAAAAUUGAGAUCACAUCCUUGGAUCUGGUUCUGGGCAGCGAGGCAGGAAGAUGCGUGGUCUUGAAUUGGCAGGGAGGAGGAGGAGAUGCCGCUUCCACCCAGGAAGCCUUACAGGCCGCCCGUUCUUUCAAAAGAAGGCCCAGGCUCCCUGACAGCGAGCUUCACUGGGACAGCAUAGUGAUCCAGGCGAGCACCAUGAUCAUUUCCAGAGUUCCAAACAUUUCUGUCCAUCUGCGACAUGAUCCUCCUGCCCUGACUAACGAAAUGUACUGUUUGGUUGUGACUGUGCAAUCGCACGAGAAGACCCCCAUCAGAGACGUGAAGCUCACUGCUGGUUUAAAACCCGGACAGGAUGCCAAUUUAACUCAGAAAACUCAUGUGACUCUUCAUGGAACAGAACCGUGUGAUGAGUCCUACCCGGCUCUACUCACUGACAUUCCUGUCGGAGACCUACAUCCCGGGGAGCAGCUGGAAAAAAUGUUAUAUGUUCGCUGUGGAACAGUGGGCUCAAGAAUGUUUCUUGUGUAUGUUUCUUACCUGAUCAAUACAACUAUUGAAGAAAAAGAAAUUGUUUGCAAGUGUCACAAGGAUGAAACUGUAACAAUAGAAACCGUCUUUCCAUUUGACGUUGCAGUUAAAUUUGUUUCUACAAAGUUUGAGCACCUGGAAAGGGUUUAUGCCGACAUCCCCUUCCUGCUGAUGACGGACCUGUUGAGUGCCUCCCCCUGGGCCCUCACCAUCAUCUCCAGUGAGCUGCAGCUUGCUCCUUCCAUGACGCCCGUGGACCAGCUGGAGUCCCAGGUGGACAACGUUGUCUUACGGACUGCAGAGAGUGCCAGUGAAUGCUUUUGUCUUCGUUGCCCAUCUGUUGGAAAUGUUGAAGGUGGAGUAGCAACUGGGCAUUAUAUUAUCUCCUGGAAGAGGACUUCAGCCAUGGACGACAUCCCUGUCAUCAGCACUGUCAUCACUCUGCCACACGUGAUUGUGGAAAAUAUCCCUCUCCAUGUGAACGCAGAUCUGCCAUCAUUUGGGCGUGUUAGAGAGUCGUUACCCGUCAAGUAUCACCUCCAGAAUAAGACUGACUUAGUUCAAGAUGUGGAGAUUUCUGUGGAGCCCAGUGAUGCCUUCAUGUUCUCAGGUCUUAAACAGAUUCGAUUACGUAUCCUCCCUGGCACCGAACAGGAAAUGUUAUAUAAUUUCUACCCUCUGAUGGCCGGGUACCAGCAGCUGCCAUCUCUCAACAUCAACUUGCUCAGGUUUCCCAACUUCACAAAUCAACUGCUCAGGCGUUUUAUACCCACCAGUAUUUUUGUAAAGCCCCAGGGCAGACUCGUGGACGACGCCUCCAUUGCUGCGGCGUGAUGUUCAGGACGGGCCUCGGCUGUUCUUACGGAGACGCCAGACAGAACCGUAUACGUUUUUCAUGCUUCGUGGAGCAGCUUUUACUAAGAGCACAGUUGCAGAGGUGUGGUGGAGUGCGUAGGACUGGAAAUAGAUCCGUCUUCUAGAGCCGGUGCCGCUCAUCUUCGGGGGGACUGGGGCAGUGACGGGCUGGGAGGACGUGAAUUCGCUGUUACCACAGCUUUACAGGUGGAGGCCACAGGAGUUUGUCGGAUUGUCUAGGGCCAGAUCCCAGCUCCGGUGGCUUUGUUCAUGUUGCCCUUUGUUUGUCUCUGUUCUUACCUGUAAGAUGUGGGUGAUGAUAACACUAUCUCAUAGACUUGGUAUGAGAAUGAUAAAAAUUAAAUACACAAGAGGAACCGUAAACAAAAAUUUCAUGAAAUAAUGCUUUCUAUAUGCUCUUAUAUUUUAUAUCCUACUCUGUUUUGUUAAAAAUAUUCCUGGUUUAACCUGCUGAAUUGAUUUCAUGACUGACUAAGGGGAUGUAACCUGAUGUUUGAAAAACUCAAAGGUCCAUCUCAUGCCGUGCUUAUGUAAUAAAGGUCUCAUGUGUUAACACCGCCAUCAUCAAACACUAAGUACUAAGUGCGUGUUAGAACAGAUGCAUCAUUGGCAUCCACUUUAAAAUUGUUAGCCUGAUGUCAGUGUGAUUUGUGUGAGUGUAAAUACACCACAUAAACAGGUCUGUGCUUUCCCUCAGUGGCGUAAUCCUUUCUCAACCAGGAAUUCUCCCAUGUCGUUCAUUUUACUGUGAAAGUAUUCUGUUCACUUGUUUUUAAAUUGCAAGUCUUAAUUCAGAAAUACAUGACAUCGUGAUCUUCCUGGGUCCCAAAAACAAAACUGUCACAGUAUUGCAGGACCUGUUGCCUCACUGAGGUUACAAGUGUCCAGAAGGACCUCAGAGUCUUUCCCUUCCUGCCUCUGUGCACCAGCCACAAUCAUCUGUCCCUCAUGAGAGGGCCCUGUCUUCUGUCUUAGUCCCGUGUUGCCAUUUGAGUCUCAAUAUUACUCCUUACCAGUAUUAUGCACCACUCCGGGGUACAAAUUUUUAAAUAAAGCAUUUAAAAUUUGGAA